Molecule: long non-coding RNA, 811 nt
Filed under: Homo sapiens (human)
Lineage: Eukaryota; Metazoa; Chordata; Mammalia; Primates; Hominidae
Description: long intergenic non-protein coding RNA 1808
Source: RNAcentral
AGAAUAUGGCUGUAGGCAUUUGUAAAUGGGGUUGUUGACAUUGAGCUUUCAGGAAGAGAAGAUUAAGACACAGAGAUACCAGAGAGGUCGUUCACAGAGGAAAGACCAUGUGAAGACGCAGUGAGAAGGUGGCCAUAUUCAAGCUGAGGAGAGAGACCUCAGAAGAAACCAAUACUGCCAACGCCUUGGUCUUGGACUUCCAGCCUCCAGAACUGUCCUGGAUCAGAAGAUGCCUGACAAGAGGCCACUAUCAGCAGCAACAGCACAGUGGGGACAAACCUGAGACCUUGAUGGACCGUGGACACCAGCAGGAGAGACAGAGGAACUUGAAGUCUAAAUGGGCAGACAAGACCAACAUACACAAAGCAGAGAGUGGCACAAGAGCCAUGUCUGAUGCAACAGUGACUCAGGAGGAUCACUCUGACUCAGAAUGGCCAAGCAAAGGUAUUGGGAGGAAGUGGGAUAGAACUGAGCUUUGAAGACCGUGCUAAAAUAUUUACAGACUCCCCAGGUUAUCUCAAGUUCUCUCCAGGAAUUAGCUUCACCUCUUUGUGCUUUGGCUCCACAUCAGUUAAAUAGUGGUAACGUUUGAUCGUUAAGAACCAUGUAGAGAUGAAACAAUUUUCAAAGUUUUUUAAUUAAGUGUACUCAUUGCCACUCAAAGACAAAUACCAUAUAAAUAUAAUAAUAAUCAUAUUGAGAAACAAAAUAGCAAUGAUGCAGAUACUCAUGUACUGUUUCAUGUUUGUGGUCUUUGAGGGGAGUUUUUACUCAAAUAUCCCUAGAUGAAUAAAUACAUAUGGUCUAUAAA